This 484-nucleotide ribosomal RNA is filed under the name uncultured bacterium. Its description in RNAcentral is "partial 16S ribosomal RNA". It matches the Rfam family "Bacterial small subunit ribosomal RNA", at positions 30 to 507 of the family's 1533-position model. The record is from RNAcentral.
AUUGAACGCUGGCGGCAGGCCUAACACAUGCAAGUCGAGCGGAUGAAGGGAGCUUGCUCCUGGAUUCAGCGGCGGACGGGUGAGUAAUGCCUAGGAAUCUGCCUGGUAGUGGGGGAUAACGUCCGGAAACGGGCGCUAAUACCGCAUACGUCCUGAGGGAGAAAGUGGGGGAUCUUCGGACCUCACGCUAUCAGAUGAGCCUAGGUCGGAUUAGCUAGUUGGUGGGGUAAAGGCCUACCAAGGCGACGAUCCGUAACUGGUCUGAGAGGAUGAUCAGUCACACUGGAACUGAGACACGGUCCAGACUACUACGGGAGGCAGCAGUGGGGAAUAUUGGACAAUGGGCGAAAGCCUGAUCCAGCCAGGCCGCGUGUGUGAAGAAGGUCUUCGGAUUGUAAAGCACUUUAAGUUGGGAGGAAGGGCAGUAAGUUAAUACCUUGCUGUUUUGACGGUACCAACAGAAUAAGCACCGGCUAACUUCGUG